Long non-coding RNA from Monodelphis domestica (gray short-tailed opossum), 1031 nucleotides. RefSeq lists it as uncharacterized. The record is from RefSeq and is a predicted model, not a curated record. NCBI's taxonomy places the organism in Eukaryota, Metazoa, Chordata, Mammalia, Didelphimorphia, Didelphidae.
AAGAGGAUUCCUUGGUAGCUGACACAGAAGAGUAAAGAGAUUAAAGCACAUGGGAGGAAAAUGAUGUGUAAUGAAAUGAGCUUUUAUUGUAACUAAUACUUUUGCUUUUGGGGAAUGAUAGUUCUUUCCCCUCACAAAGUUUGAGUGAGCUAGUAAAACUCUCUAUGGAAGUUGAAACUUGUCUACAAAAAUGUUCAUUUUAAGAAGUCAAUCAUAGAAGUGAUUUCCUUCAAAAGUCAAAACAUCUAGUUUCCAGAAGUUCAAAGUUAUGUACAACUCCUGCCUGUCAUUCAGAUCCCUGCCCACCGCUGCCACACACACAAGAGGAGGGAAUAUCUUCUGAAGCAGUUGUAUUCUCCUAAUGCUGAAACAUCAUCAUUAGAAGAAAAUUUCCAAAAGCACAGGGAUGAUCUAUCUGUGUAUCCAAGUUGCCCUUGCCAUUGUUAUGACAUUGAAAGGGAGAAGGGAAGUCAGAAGAGAAAAAGGAGCAGAUGGAGCCAUCAUCAACUAAUGUACAUGUGUGACCAGCUUCUUGCUACUGUGAAUUAAGUGAGCAAGACUUGAGGCUCUCAAUGACAUGGGGAUAGCAAGUCUCCAGGAACAUCAUCAAAGCAAAAGUUGAGGAUUAACUGUAUAUACUUUUAUCUUGAAAACUAAAUAUCAUGUAUGUAUGUCAAACAUGAAGAAGCAGUCUGUCUUCAAUAAUUGCCAAGUUUAUGAGUUUUAGUUUCUAGCUUGUAAAUAACUGCUCAGCUCACAUUCUUCUUGACACAUUUUUAGAGAGCUCUUCACUGAAGUAUGGCAUGUCUUCCCUCUCUUACCUGUAACCUUCGUCCCAAUGACCAAAGGAAGAGGAAUCUCAUCUGGAAGAUCUUUGAAUUGGGAAACAUCUGCAACCUUCCUUUGUUGUAGGAGCCGAAUUUUUUGCCGUUUCUGUUUUAAUGCUGCUCUUUCUUCUUCAAAAAAUGCUGAAGAACACCUAGGAUACAUUAUUAAAUUAGCUAAAUAAAAUCUUGCUUAUUUAAUUAAAA